UGGAUGUUCCCCGCGGUCAUCAACUGCACCGUUGGUGUGCUCACUGGCUAUGAGAAAUAAAGGAACAGCGGUGAGAAAUUUUGUGUUGUAUGAGCUGACGAUGUUUGUUACAGUGCAGGGAAAUCAAAACACUUCGGCUCCUUCCGCAUGAGCAGUCCAUCACCUUGGUCAUGAGCAGUCCAUCGCCUCGCAAGCUAGCAAUUUGUUGCCGAUGCUGCUCCUCUUGAUCACGUAGACCGAGCUGCUGCUUUGUCGAUUGGCCGUCCUGCACCCUGUCGCCGGCUCCCUCGAGCUCUGCCGCCCUUCUGGUCCAUCCUCUGCCCAUGAACCGCUGGACCCCGAGCUCGACUAGCCUUAGUCGUGUGUGCGAGUAUGCACUGGUGCGCUCUGUUUUUAGUGUGUUCGUGUGUGCGAGCACUGUUUUGGCUGCGUACGUGUGUGGUGUUGUGUUGGAAAGUUCAGCUAUUGUAUCUCGGAAAGAUCUAAUUUAUUUUCAGUAAGGAUACUGCCUCAAUGCCUUCUUAAAUCAAACAUUUAGCUUGCUAUAUGCGUUUGGAGAAAAGCAUAAACAAGAUAAUGCAAAAACCGGCACUGGUUGGAUAAGCUGAGAGAAGAUGCUAAUUUUGUGGUGGAGAAUUGUAGUGACGCCAAGUUAGUGCUUGUUUUGCGUAUAAAACAUGAUUAAGUGCAUGUAAUUACUGUAUGACCAGGCCACUGGAGAUUUUAUUUUGUAGGUGUGCAGUGUCUUUUCGCUACUGAUCCUUAUGGUCAAUGAUCUCCAAAUUUUAUUGUCUUUACUCUGCGUGUUUUAUUUUUUAUAUAAAAAGGAAAGAAGUUCAUAUAUACAAAAU
This 851-nucleotide long non-coding RNA is filed under the name Triticum aestivum (bread wheat). RNAcentral's name for it is "long non-coding RNA (TAES_LNC014480)". Lineage: Eukaryota; Viridiplantae; Streptophyta; Magnoliopsida; Poales; Poaceae. The record is from RNAcentral.